Molecule: ribosomal RNA, 231 nt
Filed under: Clostridioides difficile
Lineage: Bacteria; Bacillati; Bacillota; Clostridia; Peptostreptococcales; Peptostreptococcaceae
Description: partial 23S ribosomal RNA
Rfam family: Bacterial large subunit ribosomal RNA
Source: RNAcentral
GAGAAUGUUGGCAUGAGUAGCGAGAUGUGGGUGAGAAUCCCACAGGCCGUAAACCCAAGGUUUCCAGGGGAAGGUUCGCCCGCCCUGGGUUAGUCGGGACCUAAGCUGAGGCCGAAAGGCGUAGGUGAUGGACAACAGGUUGCUAUUCCCGUACUACCGAUAACCGGUUGAGAGAAGCGAUGACACAGUAGGAUAAGCUAAGCAUACUGUAGGGUAAGGUGUCCCAGGCAU